AGGAGUACCAGUACCAGAUCAAUGUGGAGCUAUAAACAGGGAGUACCAGUACCAGAUCAAUGUGGAGCUAUAAACAGGGAGUACCAGAUCAAUGUGGAGCUAUAAACAGGGAGUACCAGUACCAGAUCAAUGUGGAGCUAUAAACAGGGAGUACCAGAUCAAUGUGGAGCUAUAAACAAGGAGUACCAGUACCAGAUCAAUGUGGAGCUAUAAACAGGGAGUACCAGUACCAGAUCAAUGUGGAGCUAUAAA
Molecule: long non-coding RNA, 252 nt
Organism: Oncorhynchus tshawytscha (Chinook salmon)
Lineage: Eukaryota; Metazoa; Chordata; Actinopteri; Salmoniformes; Salmonidae
Source: Ensembl